AGAUUUUCAUCCUAACCUACGCCGCACGUAGACGUACACAAAGUUUAGUGCUAUAUUAAAUUACAUUAUGUUCUUUAUAAAAUACGUUAUAUUAUGUUAUAUUUUUUUUUUUUUUUUUUUUUUUUUUUUUUUUAACUGCUAUUUUCGAAUAUACGUUUUUUUUGUUAAGUUAUAUUGUAUUUAUGAGUCACUUUAUUGUUUUGUUUUGUGUUGUUUUACAUUUGCUUUGUUUUGUGUUGUUUUACUUUGCUUUGUUUCGUUUCAUUCCGUUACGUUUUUUAUGUUAAUUUUUGCUUUGCUUUGCUUUUGUUUUAUUUUUUCUUUUUCUUCUGCUUUUGCUUCUGCUUUUAUUUUUAUUUUAUCAUUUUCAUUUUUUGUUUUUGUUAUUUUUAACUCGGUAUCGCUUCGAUUAAUUUUUGCUGGAUUUUAUUUUUUUUUAUUUUAUUGUUAGAUUGUUAAAGCCUUCGAAAUUCGAAAAAAGUAAAAAAAAAUUAAAAUCAAUUUUGUGUUAAAAAAAAAAAAAAAAACAAAAAACCAUUUAUAUAUAAUGAGAAAGAGCAAAAAAAAAAAAAAAAAUGUUUUAUACAUUUUUGUUUUUUAUAAAAUCAUUGUAUGUUAUAAAUAUUAACAAGAAAUUCCUAAUAUAAAAAUAAAAAUAAAAAUAAAAAUAUAUAAAAAUGAUUUACUUAAAAGGUGAAAACCGCCUUAUUAGCAUAAAUGAAGAUAACAUAAAUGAAGAAAAUUAUAUGAUAAUAAAAGCUAUUUUAAAAGAUGAAAAAGUAUGUAUAAACGGGUGGGUUGAAGUUUGUUUAAUUUUGUAUAAAAAAAACUAUUAUAAGUUAUUUUUAGACCUUAUUAAAGAGGCAGAAGUUUUUUUUAGUAAUGACAAUUGUACAUAUUUGAGUAUAUUACUAUUGUUAUAUAACUUAGAUAAAUUAAUAAAUGUUAAAAGUAUAAAUAAAGAAGAUGAAAUAAAAAUUAAGUUAGAACAUUUAUUAACACAAAUUGAAAAAAGAAAAGUGGAUAAUUACAAUAAUAAUGAAAAAAAAAACAGUUAUGAUUAUAUAUCUUAUUUGUUAAUUAAAGGUGUAUAUUAUACAAAUAUAUAUUUAUUUUUAUUAAAUAAAUAUGAAGAAAAAAACGAAAAUAGUAAUUAUAUUCAUCCUAAUAAUAAUUAUACUUAUUCAUUUUCUUUAUCUUUACAUUCAACAUCAUCACCAUUAUUAUCGCCAUUAAAGUCUUAUACUUCUACAAAUAAUAGUAUACAAAAAACAGGCUCUUUAACAACCAAUAUAAAAGAUGAAACAAAUAAAGAAAAUAUACAUCCUUUAAAUUAUUUAAUUGAAAGUAUAAAUAUAUUUGCAUUUUUAGUAAAAAAAAAUAAUUAUGAUUUUAUUUCAUCUAUAUAUUUAUCAUACACGUUAUGUUUAAUAUAUAAACUGGACGUAUGUAUUGAGUUUUCAUCAAUUGUAUUGAUAAGAAUAAUACACUUUGAGCAAUUUUUAUGUUCGCUUUGUGAAAUUUAUUUAAAUGGGAAUGACACAAAGACGAAUAGUUUAAGUAAAAAUACAAAAACGGGUAUUACAAAUAUCCUAUCAAAUUAUGAACCAUAUAACAAUAGAAACUAUAGUUACAACACAGUAGACGAUUUGUACAGAUUUGUUAAAAUAAAAAAGUUAUUAAAUACGUUAAAAGGUUUUAAAUCUAUUAUAAAAUACAUAAUAGGUUUAUGUUAUAUGAAAAAAAAAAACUUCAUCUUAGCAUCUUAUUGUUUUACAUCAUCAAUCAAAUUAAAUAAUUAUUGUUUUGCGUACUUAACCAAUUCAUGGUUAUUAUUAUUAAACUAUUUUCAAAAAAUUACAAAAUAUAACAAUUUUAUUAAAGAUGAUAAAAUAUGUAAUUUUUUAAAAUAUAAUUUGAAUUAUGCAAAUGGGAAUGUAGGUCAUCCUAUUCAAAUGUUAUAUCUGAAAAAAAAAAAAAAAAUAAUAAAUAAUUUCAGUAAUAAUAACAGUAAUGAUGGCAGUAAUAAUAAUAACAGUAAUAAUGGCAGUAAUAAUAAUAACAGUAAUAAUGGCAGUAAUAAUAACAUUAAUAAUGAGGAGGAGGAGGAGAGUUUGAAAAAAAAUAAUGAAAAUAUUAGCUGGUAUGGUAGACUUAUGAAACGGUUAAAAAAGGAUGACUCUAAUAUUGAAACAAGUAAUGCUAAUAAUAUUAAUAAAUAUGAAGAAGGUAAUAAAUCUAAUCCAAUCGGAAUGAAUAACAUGUUAGGACACAUCAAAGCAAGUAAUACAACAUACAUCCAUGCAGGUACUCACUUAAUUACUCAUAAUAAC
This is a long non-coding RNA of Piliocolobus tephrosceles (Ugandan red Colobus), 2333 nucleotides long. Lineage: Eukaryota; Metazoa; Chordata; Mammalia; Primates; Cercopithecidae. The record is from Ensembl.